UAAAUACUCCCUCUGUCCGAAAAUACUUGUCGUAAAAAUGCACGUAUAUAGACUUAUUUUAGUUAUAGCAUCUAUUUUAUUCAUUUUUAGAACAAGUAUUUCCGGACGGAUGGAGUAUAAA
This 121-nucleotide microRNA precursor is filed under the name Hordeum vulgare. RNAcentral's name for it is "microRNA MIR1122". It matches the Rfam family "MIR1120/MIR1122 microRNA precursor family". The record is from RNAcentral. Lineage: Eukaryota; Viridiplantae; Streptophyta; Magnoliopsida; Poales; Poaceae.